RNAcentral lists this long non-coding RNA (1899 nucleotides) under Setaria italica (foxtail millet). RNAcentral's name for it is "long non-coding RNA (SITA_LNC006081)". The record is from RNAcentral. Lineage: Eukaryota; Viridiplantae; Streptophyta; Magnoliopsida; Poales; Poaceae.
AUUUGUACUCUGUUGUUGUUCUAUAUUUCUGUGCUGGUAUGAAUUUGUACUAUCUGAGGGUAUGGAUUUGUACUAUCUGAGCUAGGGAUUUGCACGUGAUUACCUUUCUGGCACUAUCACCGAUGUACGUAGGCUUGAAUUCUUAGAAAUGGGAAUUCCGGUCCGUUUCACGCAUGAAAGUAUGCUAUUGCAAGAUUGUUGAACAGAUCAGUUGUAUGACUUACUAUAUCCUACGCGGUAGCACUUUACUAUAAUCAUUGCGGGUGCCCUCAGAUGGAGGCGGGCAUCCUCCCCUGAAAAUAAUAAAAUGGUCAAAAUCAGCCAACCUUCAAUUGUUGUGAUUUCUCCCUGAGGUAGGAGAAUUGGGGACUUGGAGUAGAUCAACACGGGAGGAACCGUUGGAAGGAAGGAAGGAAGGUUCAGUUCGGGAUUCAGAGUUUCAGCACGCUCGCCAUGGCAUCGAUCUGCUUGGAGAACAACAUCACGCAGCGAGGGCGCCCAAAAACCAAGGGAAGGACGGCAUGGCAGUACUGCAAAGGAGGCAGAGCAGCGAAGCAGAGGAGAGCGGUGAGUUGUCGAGCUAGCGAGACCGACGGAGGUGUUUGGACUUUUGUUGAUGAGAGCAUCUGCAAAUCCUUCGAUUAUUGGUGCCAUCCUCUACUGUGUCAUGAGAGUAUUAUCUACUCAUUUAAACACCAAUAUAUAAAAACUUUGGCUUUUAUCGAAAAGAAAAAAAAAGAUUCAGCCCCGAUGUGAUCCCACCAGCCACCACGCGUUUCACGUGGUAACAGUACUUCAAGUUUAUCUUCAAGUUUCAGACGCACCAUCCACAGACAUGCUGAUUGUCGUCGGCCCCAAUGAAUUAUUGAAGUACAUCCCAUGCGUGCAGCGCGUGUAUAAACACCGCCCUCCGGCAGGCUCCUCCAUCACCACAUCCACCACCUCCUCUCCUCAUCCUGCACUCGACUCUCCUCGUCGUAGUAGUGUUCGAUCGUGUGUGUGCAAGUACAGCAAUGGGGUUUGGGCGGAAGGUUGGAGAGGGUGGGGUUAGCAGGUGGCUCCUCCUGCUCGCCGGGGUGCUGCUGGCGGUGGCUGUCACGGUGACGGCCGGUGACGCUGCGGAGGAGGGAGCCACCGCUGGCGACUACAGCCUCCACGGUAGCCAAGCUAUGUGCGAGCUCAAGUGCCAGCAUCAUCAUGAUCCAGUGAACAAGAAGCGGUGCGUCGACUUCUGCAUACGGUGGCAGCUAGCGCUACCGUUUGACGCUGCGGAGGAGGGAGCCACCGCUGGCGACGACAGCCUCCACGGUAGCCGAGCUAUGUGCGAGCUCAAGUGCCAGCAUCAUCAUGAUCCAGUGAACAAGAAGCGGUGCGUUGACUUCUGCAUACGGUGGCAGCUAGCGCUACCAUUUGAUGCUGCGGAGGAGGGAGCCACCGCGGGCGAGGACAGCCUCCACGGUAGCCGAGCUAUGUGCGAGCUCAAGUGCCAGCAUCAUCAUGAUCCAGUGAACAAGAAGCGGUGCGUCGACUUCUGCAUACGGUGGCAGCUAGCGCUACCGUUUGACGCGGUGGAGGAGGGAGCCACCGCGGGCAAAGACAGCCUCCACGGUAGCCGAGCUAUGUGCGAGCUCAAGUGCCAGCAUCAUCAUGAUCCAGUGAACAAGAAGCGGUGCGUCGACUUCUGCAUACGGUGGCAGCUAGCACUACUGUUUGACGUUAAGGAGGAGGAUGGAGCUAGCGCCACCGACACCAUCACCGCUGGUGAGGUCGGCGUCUGCGCCAACCGGCGUAUAUGCAAGAUCAAGUGCCAGCACCAUCACGACCAGGUGAACAGCAACCGGUGCACCGACUUCUGCAUAGGGUACCAAGUGGCACUAGAUGCCAUUAUGGAGAAUGGAG